GUAAUCAAAGUAGCUUUGAAAAACUAAUCAUAAAUUGUUCGACCCAAGCCCGCUCCUUGUUGAAUUUCUUCAGUCUUACCCUACUCAGCAAAGGAAUAACACCUAAAUUUUUUCCAAAUUAAAAUCUUCAAAAUGUUCAUUGGUCCGGUCCAGAAAGAACAUCUGCACAACAUGAUCCUGGGAUGUGGUUGGCCCUGUGGAUCACUGAGCGGACCCUGCUGCGAUAGCUGCUGUGGUGGCUGUUGUGGUAGCUGCUGUGGAGGUUGCUGUGGUGGCUGCGGCUGGUGAUAUUUAAGCUGGCGGUGUUGGACCCGGACUAAUGUGCAACAGUUGCCUUGAUCCAUAUGAAAAUAGACCACAAACGACAUCCACUUGCAAACGCUAUUUUAAGGCAUUGUUGUUCAACGUGAAGAAUGUUUAAUAAAUAAUCGAAGUGAGACUUACCAAAAACGCUCUCUUUUCAAUACUGAACCUAUGGCAGUAGCCAUUGGUUGUUCCUGGGUAGUUUCAAGAUGGUAUAUGAAAAUAAAUUAGGUUCAUUCUUGGGUAAUCAUACACAUUGCGAAUAAAACUAAAGAAUCUGUGCUGGGAAAGAAAUUUCAAAGCACCCUUGAUAAAUUAGUCUCCUCCAACGUACAGUUCUACCUUCCGGUACAUAAGGGCACCUAUAAAAAUAAACGAGUAAACUAAAUAGAAACGGAAGAUUUGAACAUUAUCUAGGUUGCGAUAGGCUCUGUGGAUUAAGUGGAGCCGGAGACACCAGCGGAUGCUGCUUUUUGAGCAGUGCAUACAGAUAAAACGACAUUUUGGGAAAAGCCCCUCAGGCAACAAGUAUCAAAUUAUUAUUAAACAAAGGUGUUUUAGUAUGAAAUGCUGCCCAAUAAUCCAGGAACUGAACUGCACAGAUCAUUAAGACCUUUAAAGGCUCUCUCUUAAAGUAGAAACUGACCGCCACUAUUUUAGUCGGCCCUGUUCUAGUGUAUAGGAUUAACAAACGGGCUAAGUUCUAAGGAACACUAUUCUAAAAUAGCACAUCUGAUACUACACCCAUGAUAAUCCAAGAUUUGGAAGCAUGUUAACCACCAAUUAAGUCAUUCUUUUCGUAUCUGAUUCAACCUUAUCUGACAUGGUGUAUACCAUUUUAUAUUGCAUGUAUUUAUAUUAAUACGUGCAUAUACUUUAAGAAGUCCACGAAAGUUCCAGCUGCCAGUUCAUUGAAAUUGCACGAAUAAAAGCUCAUAUGAAUUUCAACAAGAAAUAUAGGUCGAAGCACCUUUGAAAAUUCAAUCGUAUAUUUUACCCACCUAAGUCCCAACAAUACUUUCUAGUCUCAAUCUUGAAAGUUAUCCUAAGCGAGCAACAACUAAAUAAAUUGUAAAAUUCUAUCUUCAAAAUGUUUAUUGGUCCAGUUCAGAAGGAGCAUUUGCACAACAUGAUCCUGGGUUGCGGUUGGCCCUGUGGAUCCUUAAGCGGCACGUGCGACACCAGCGGGUGCAAGUAAAGUCGACAGCUCGUUUGAUGCUCUUUGGACAUGGACCAAUGCAUUAAGAAGGGAAGUCUCUUAUAAUUAAUUCGGGCAACUAAAACACAAAAAUAGAUGUUAAACAUAAACAUAAAUAAAAAAAAAUUUGUAUUUAUGGACUAAAGCUUAAAA
This is a long non-coding RNA of Drosophila montana, 1654 nucleotides long. RefSeq lists it as uncharacterized. The record is from RefSeq and is a predicted model, not a curated record. The transcript has 4 exons. Lineage: Eukaryota; Metazoa; Arthropoda; Insecta; Diptera; Drosophilidae.